This 859-nucleotide long non-coding RNA is filed under the name Ricinus communis (castor bean). RNAcentral's name for it is "long non-coding RNA (RCOM_LNC000688)". The record is from RNAcentral. Lineage: Eukaryota; Viridiplantae; Streptophyta; Magnoliopsida; Malpighiales; Euphorbiaceae.
UCUUUUGUAUAAUAGUGUGGAGAGUGGAUAAAGAUGCAUAUGACAUUUGCUGCUUCUGAAAUCUGAUGAAAGAAAAAGGGAAGAAAAAAGAUAAAAUUAAAAAACCAGUUUCGACCAAUCCUCUUCACUUUCAGAUAGAAUCAAGAAAGCAAAUUUCUUCUUUAAAAAAAAAAAGAUUAAAAAAAAAUGAAUAAACAUUUACCUGUCCACCCAACACCAUCUGCAUUGCAUAUAUAUAUAUCAAACUUCCAAUUUAAGACUCAGAUAUACCAUUUUUCACCAUUGGAUUCCAUUCACACCACCUCCCAUCAUUAAAAAAAGAAAAAACAAACAGAGAAAGAAAAAUAGCAAAUCCAAAUGAGAAUUGUGUUUGGUGAUUACCCAUUUAACCUUGAAAAAUGGAGAUUCAAAGCCGCACUAUUUAGGGGAUGAGAAGAAGGUGACUUCAUAUUAAAAAUGUUCAGACUUAUUUUCUCUGCCUGCCUCCUUUCUGCUCCGCUUUCUCUCACUUAACAACUGUCUUAACUGUGCGGUGUCCGGUCCUCUCAUGUCCUUUAGUUUCUUAAUGUGGCGAGAACAGUGAGUUCACUGUAUUAUCACCUCAAUUUUUGUUGUAAUUAAUUGGUUUUAUUUUUCCACCAUUAAAAGAAAAAAAAAAAACAUAAUUGCAGAGAGCAGAGGCAGCUGAAUUCUGCAGAUAGCAAACAGUAAUUUUUGGGCCGCUUUCUAAUUCAUUGUCGACCUUGCCCAAUUUAUUGCUUUCUCUUCUGUAGUUAACACAAUUCACAGCAGACUUUUCUUGCUUAGCCACAAGUACAACCCUUUGACCUUGCACCACAAUAACAUAUUUAACUCUACA